This 503-nucleotide long non-coding RNA is filed under the name Homo sapiens (human). RNAcentral's name for it is "long intergenic non-protein coding RNA 882". The record is from RNAcentral. Lineage: Eukaryota; Metazoa; Chordata; Mammalia; Primates; Hominidae.
ACAGAGAAACUGGCAGAAAAUGAAUCCAUGGAGAUUUUGACAAGACCCCUCUAAGCAAGAUCUAAAGACAACAUCAGAUGGAGUUGUCUGUGGAUUAUGAGGAUGCAGCAUUCAAGGUUCUAUCUUGGAAGCAGAGACUGUGCCCUCACCAGAUGCUGAACCUGCUGAGCACCCUGAUCUUCCACUUCACCUUCAUCAGAACUACUGGGGCUGUGGCUGAGAUGUCACAUGGCAGAUAGGAUCACAAAUUUCUGUUGUAUCUGGAUGGAGAUCAGCAGGAGGAUCUAUGGACUGCUGUGAUUGCACCUGCCAUCUUAUGCAGAAAUGACCUGAAGACAGACUGAAACAACGUGUUCUACAGCCUGAAAAUAUCUACCUUGACUUACAGUUUUAUUAAUGCUGGUGUGAUCAGACUGGACAAAAAUUAGCAUAUGUUAUUAACUGAUCUAAUUCAAGUGCCAAUUCUUAAUAGAAACACAAAACAAUAAAAGCAAUUCAGAAAA